AAAAAAUGAAGGCAUAUUUAUUACUGACCAGGAGAAAUUCCACAGUAUAUAGAAUGGGAAUCAUACUAUAUACAUUUGUAGCUUAUUUUCAAUUUUUAAAAACAAGUCCAAGAAAGUUAAAAUAUUCUUUUUAAUUAGAUGCUCAAAGAAAUGAAGUAAGAAAAACUGAUGCAAAGACUCCUUCAAGUUAGGAUUUGCAAUACAAAUAUUUUCAUAUCCUAACAGGGCAAGCUGAUGUGUUCACAUCUCCCUUCCAAGCUGCUUCUCUCACUAGGAAACAUCAGUAUUUUUAAAGCACAUUUACAAUGCUUUCCCAUCACCCUUUCUGUGUUUUUGUAGCACCUAUAGCCAUAACUGGCACCUGGGGGCCUUGCAUUGUUGGCAGUUUCCCUCUCAUUUCUUUGGAGUCUAUUCAACUGCUGUGGUUUUACUCAGAAGUCAGUGCUUUGCAUUUAUGAUUUCCUGAGACUGUUUGAAUGGUCUUUCUCAGAAAACUGUGCCAG
RNAcentral lists this long non-coding RNA (503 nucleotides) under Bos taurus (domestic cattle). RNAcentral describes it as "long non-coding RNA NONBTAT010936". Lineage: Eukaryota; Metazoa; Chordata; Mammalia; Artiodactyla; Bovidae. The record is from RNAcentral.